AUUGAACGCUGGCGGCAUGCUUUACACAUGCAAGUCGAACGGUAGACCCUUUCGGGGGUUGAGAGUGGCGAACGGGUGAGUAAUGCAUCGGAACGUGCCUAGUCGUGGGGGAUAACGUAGCGAAAGUUACGCUAAUACCGCAUACGCACUGAGGUGGAAAGCGGGGGACCGUAAGGCCUCGCGCGAUUGGAGCGGCCGAUGUCGGAUUAGCUAGUUGGUGAGGUAAAGGCUCACCAAGGCGACGAUCCGUAGCGGGUCUGAGAGGAUGAUCCGCCACACUGGGACUGAGACACGGCCCAGACUCCUACGGGAGGCAGCAGUGGGGAAUUUUGGGACAAUGGGCGCAAGCCUGAUCCAGCCAUGCCGCGUGCGGGAAGAAGGCCUCGG
Molecule: ribosomal RNA, 387 nt
Filed under: uncultured bacterium
Lineage: Bacteria
Description: bacterial SSU rRNA
Rfam family: Bacterial small subunit ribosomal RNA
Source: RNAcentral